RNAcentral lists this ribosomal RNA (406 nucleotides) under uncultured bacterium. Its description in RNAcentral is "partial 16S ribosomal RNA". It matches the Rfam family "Bacterial small subunit ribosomal RNA", at positions 30 to 526 of the family's 1533-position model. The record is from RNAcentral.
AUUGAACGCUGGCGGCAGGCCUAACACAUGCAAGUCGAACGAGUGGCGGACGGGUGAGUAAUGUCUGGGAAACUGCCCGAUGGAGGGGGAUAACUACUGGAAACGGUAGCUAAUACCGCAUACCAUCGGAUGUGCCCAGAUGGGAUUAGCUAGUAGGUGGGGUAAUGGCUCACCUAGGCGACGAUCACUAGCUGGUCUGAGAGGAUGAUCGAGCAGACGGGAACUGAGACACGGUCCAGGUGCGUGCGGGAGGCAGCAGUGGUGAAUAAUGCACAAUGGGCGGAAGCCUGUUGCAGCCAUGCCGCGUAUAUGACGAAGGCCUUCGGGUUGUAAGAUACUGUCAGCGGGGCGGCGUUACUCGCAGAAGAAGCACCGGCUAACUCCGUGCCAGCAGCCGCGGUAAUAC